UUUAACGGCCGCGGUAUUUUGACCGUGCAAAGGUAGCGUAAUCACUUGUCUUUUAAAUGAAGACCUGUAUGAAUGGCAUAACGAGGGCUAAACUGUCUCCUUUCCCCAGUCAAUGAAGUUGAUCUUUCCGUGCAGAAGCGGGAAUGAAUACAUAAGACGAGAAGACCCUAUGGAGCUUAAGACACAAGGCAGCGAACGUUAAAACCCCUGGACCAACAGGAACAACCAAGUUAUGCCUGCCCUUUUGUCUUUGGUUGGGGCGACCGCGGAGGAAAACAAAUCCCCCACGUGGAACAGGACCUGCUCCUCAAAACUAGAGCUACAGCUCUGGUUCACAGAACAUCUGACCAGAAAGAUCCGGUACUACCGAUCAACGGACCGAGUUACCCUAGGGAUAACAGCGCAAUCCCCUUUCAGAGCCCAUAUCGACAAGGGGGUUUACGACCUCGAUGUUGGAUCAGGACCCCCUAAUGGUGCAGCCGCUAUUA
RNAcentral lists this ribosomal RNA (488 nucleotides) under Orsinigobius punctatissimus. RNAcentral's name for it is "partial 16S ribosomal RNA". It matches the Rfam family "Bacterial large subunit ribosomal RNA", at positions 1923 to 2567 of the family's 2925-position model. The record is from RNAcentral. Lineage: Eukaryota; Metazoa; Chordata; Actinopteri; Gobiiformes; Gobiidae.